UAAAAAGCUUUUAAAAUCCCUUGUAAAUCAUUCUAUGUCACUUACUUAUGCUUUGAAAACGAUUGUAAAUCAUGUUUUACCCUCUU
This 86-nucleotide small RNA is filed under the name Arabidopsis thaliana (thale cress). Its description in RNAcentral is "ATSL093080". Lineage: Eukaryota; Viridiplantae; Streptophyta; Magnoliopsida; Brassicales; Brassicaceae. The record is from RNAcentral.